AAUAGAUACCCGGGUAGUCCUAGCUGUAAACGAUGAGCACUGGGUUGAGGGGACUUCCACAUCCUCUCGGCCGUAGCGAAAGCGUUAAGUGCUCCGCCUGGGGAGUAUGGCCGCAAGGCUGAAACUCAAAGGAAUUGACGGGGGCUCACACAAGCGGUGGAGGAUGUGGCUUAAUUCGAGGCUACGCGAAGAACCUUAUCCUAGAUUUGACAUGGUUGAGAAUCUCCUUGAAAGAGGAGAGUGCCCUUCGGGGAGCUCUUUCACAGGUGCUGCAUGGCUGUCGUCAGCUCGUGUCGUGAGAUGUUGGGUUAAGUCCCUUAACGAGCGGAAACCCUUAUCUUUAGUUGCCAGCGGGUCAAGCCGGGGACUCUAAAGAGACUGCCGGUGUCAAACCGGAGGAAGGUGGGGAUGACGUCAAGUCCUCAUGGCCUUUAUGUCUAGGGCUGCACACGUCCUACAAUGGCACGUACAAAGGGAAGCCAAGCCGCGAGGCCGCGCUAAUCCCAAAAAGCGUGCCCCAGUUCGGAUUGCAGG
Molecule: ribosomal RNA, 534 nt
Filed under: uncultured bacterium
Lineage: Bacteria
Description: bacterial SSU rRNA
Rfam family: Bacterial small subunit ribosomal RNA
Source: RNAcentral